Molecule: long non-coding RNA, 1018 nt
Organism: Anguilla rostrata (American eel)
Lineage: Eukaryota; Metazoa; Chordata; Actinopteri; Anguilliformes; Anguillidae
Exons: 2
Source: RefSeq, a predicted model, not a curated record
UUGAAAUGAGAUCUUCCUCCUAGCAACAGUGGGUGUAACGCAGGAAGUGGAUCUUUCUGUACCGUCUUCGGCUUUGACACUUCCUGUCUCUCUCUCUCUCUCUCGUUCGCCAUUUCAGUUUAACAUCUUUGUUUCAUGCCGUUUUAACUCAUGUAAUCUGAAAGCUGAUGCAGGUGGAGACGCACCACCCUUAAUGCCCCGUGCCACACUGAUUAUUCUCAUUACACACACAACAUUCAGACCUCUGAAGCACUCCCACAUGACUGAGUACAGCCACCUGCUGGCAGAGCAGUGUAACAGCGCUUUUAAACGCACGCAUGUUCGCUCCAUCAGUUCUUCGAUGCGCUGUUACUGAUUCCGAUCAGUUACCUCUCCCACGAGAGCAUGCUGUGCACCACAACACCACACUAGCAGACGCUCUUAUCCAGAGCGACUUACAUAGCAUUUUACAUUGUAUCCAUUUAUACAGCUGGAUAUAUACUGAAGCAAUUCCGGUUAAGUACCUUGCUCAAGGGUACAACGGCAGUGUCCUUACCCGGGAAUCGAACCUGCGACCUUUCGGUUACAAGCCCAGUUCCUUACCCACUGUGCUACACUGCCGCCCGGCUCUUCAGCCCCGUGGCUGCUAUUAGAUAAAAAAUGUCUAGAGUCUGUGAUGUUCUCGUGUCAGGUUCUGAACUGCUGUGCUGCAGUAGGGCAUAUUUUUGGAUUCUGCACGAGAAUCAGCACAGCCGAAGCAAAGGCAUUCAUCCUCCGUUGUGCAACUGAAAUGCAGUACAAGAGCCAACAGAUACUACGUGCUGAGUGGUUUAUUCAGUUGCUGUAGAAUAACCACAAUCAGAAGUCACUUGCUGUUUUUUUUUUUUGUUUCGUUUUUUUCUGGGGGGUGGGUGGGUGGCGGUUGUAGAAUGUCUGGUUUGAUGUUUGCCAAUUCUUCUAUUCUGUAUGUUGGUUUGUUUUGUCUGAUAGUAGUAUCUGUGUAAAACGUUCUAUACGAAUAAAUCUGCAUUGAACUUCA